Molecule: ribosomal RNA, 395 nt
Filed under: uncultured bacterium
Lineage: Bacteria
Description: partial 16S ribosomal RNA
Rfam family: Bacterial small subunit ribosomal RNA
Source: RNAcentral
AUACGUAGGGUGCAAGCGUUAAUCGGAAUUACUGGGCGUAAAGCGUGCGCAGGCGGUUUUGUAAGACAGAGGUGAAAUCCCCGGGCUCAACCUGGGAACUGCCUUUGUGACUGCAAGGCUAGAGUACGGCAGAGGGGGAUGGAAUUCCGCGUGUAGCAGUGAAAUGCUUAGAGAUGCGGAGGAAAACCGAUGGCGAAGGCAAUCCCCUGGGCCUGGACAGACGCACACGCUCUAAAGCAUGGGGAGCUAACAAGAUGAGAUACCCUGGUAGUCCACGCCCCAAACGAUGUCAACGGGUUAGUGGGGAAGUCGGUUCUCAGUAACGAAGCUAAAGCGUUAAGUUGACCGCCUGGGGAGUUCGGUCGCAAGGUUAAAGCUCAAAUGAAUUGAUGGGG